Long non-coding RNA from Vigna radiata var. radiata (mung bean), 500 nucleotides. RefSeq lists it as uncharacterized. The transcript has 3 exons. Lineage: Eukaryota; Viridiplantae; Streptophyta; Magnoliopsida; Fabales; Fabaceae. The record is from RefSeq and is a predicted model, not a curated record.
CUUUUCACAAAUGGUUGAACUGUUUCAGACUGCAAGGGCUUUUAAUACUUCUUUAACACUGACAUCGAAGACAACUUCACUUUAUCAACAUUGAUUUGGUGGUAGCCCUUUUCUCCCUGAGAUGGUUUCACUCAUUUACCAGUCAACUUUAUAGGCAGUCCUUUCUGUCCAAAUCGCAUUGUUACUCUUCCUUCCAAGGAGACGACAGUUAAGUGUUGUGAUGAGCUUGAUCAGGUGGCUAAGGUUUCGCUCGAGGUAACUUGAUCACAUUAUGGAUGAAGUUCAAGACAUGCAGAAUGAUACAUUCACUAGUAAAGAAGGAUUUAAAGGCGCUAUAACUAGUCUAAAAUUGGGUUUUAACGUCAUCUUAUAAACGUUAGACCACAAAACAUCCAACAUAAAUUAUUGACCGAUGAUAUUUUUGUAAAUAAAUAAGAAUAUAGACGUCAGUUCGGAGGAUCAUUGACGUCUAUAAUAUACUAGACAUUGGGGUCCCUCCU